AAAUAAAUAACCAAACAAACAACCCAACUAUGUGUAAGAAUUGGGUUGUCUUUGCUUUCAUCUUUUUGGUUCUCCUUAGUGGCGUCUCUUCGGCUUCAGCCACACCUCCUGCCAAAAUCGUAAGUGGGGUUGUCUCCAAUAUCGUCUCUGCACUUGUUAAGUGGCUCUGGUCAGUCAAAUCCAACACUAAAAAAGAUACAGCUGUCUCUAGCCGUUCGAUGAUAAAAUUUGAAGAUGGACAUGCAGUGGAGACGGUUUUUGAUGGAAGUAAGCUUGGAAUUGAGCCAUACUCGGUUGAGUUAUCUCCAAGUGGAGAGCUCUUGGUUUUGGAUUCACAGAAUAGUAAUAUUUACAAGAUCCAAACACCAUUAUCUAGAUAUAGCAGGCCCAAGCUGAUUGCUGGAUCAUCUGAAGGGUACUCUGGACAUGUAGAUGGGAGGCUAAGAGAAGCAAGAAUGAACCACCCAAAAGGUCUUACGGUGGAUGACCAAGGAAACAUAUAUAUAGCAGACACAAUGAAUAUGGCUAUCAGAAAGAUAAGUGAUGGAGGGAUUACAACUAUUGCAGGUGGAAAAUGGGCUCAUGGGGGUGGUCAUGUUGAUGGUCCAAGUGAAGAUGCAAAGUUUUCAAAUGAUUUUGAUGUGGUCUAUAUUGGAAGCAGCUGCUCUCUCUUUGUUAUAGAUCGAGGAAACCAGGCAAUUCUAGAGAUUCAACUUCAUGAUGAAGAUUGUAGCUAUCAAUAUGAUGGUAGUUUCCACUUAGGUAUAAUAAAAUUUGUCUUACUUUCAUCCAUAAUUUAUGUUUUGUUUCCCAUGAUCAUGGACAUCUAUGUAACGUUUUUUGUCAUUUUAGGGAUAGCAGCGCUAGCUGCUGCUGCAUUCUUUGGCUACAUGCUAGCAUUUUUGCAACGUAGCGUACAAGCAUUAUUUUCUUCCAAUGAUGAUUCAAGAGCUUGUACAAAGAAAGGUGCACCAAAUGCACCAUACCAAGGGAAUCCUAAAUCAUUCAGGCCCCCUUUGAUUCCAAAUGAAGUUGAGCUUGAGAAACCAGAUGAGGGCUUUUUGGGUUCCCUCGGGAGGCUUGUCCUCAACACUGGAUUAACUGUAGGUGAAAUUUUUGGGGGAUUAUUUUCAGGCUUCAGAAGGAAGCCCAUCCACUACCAGUUUCAACAGCAAUACCAGUACCAACAAGUUCUCCAACAUUCAAAUGCAUGGCCAAUGAAAGGAAGUUUUGUGAUUCCUAAUGAAGAUGAGCCACCAUCAAUAGAAACCAGAACUCCUACCCCAAAUAAAACGUAUCCAUGCAUGAUCAACGACAUGGAGAAGGACCACCAAUUCAAGCAAAACCAUAGUUGCCAUAGAGGGUGGGAUGGCGAGCAUCACCAACAGAAACAGCAACAGCAACAGCAGCAAAUGCAAACGCAGAUGCAGAUGCAGAUGCAGCACCACCACCAGCAACAGCAGCAUCAUCAUCAUAGGCAUUAUACAUCUAACCCAAAAGCAUACUAUGAAAAGAGCUGUGAGACAAAUGAGAUUGUGUUUGGGGCUGUUCAGGAACAGGAUGGUCGGCGUGAAGCUGUGGUGAUAAAGGCUGUUGACUUUGGAGAUCCUAGGUCCAAUCACCAUAAUAUUCGACCUCGAUUCAACUAUGUUGGUUACCCUCAUGGGUAUUAAUCAUGUACUUGUAUUACUGGAGGGGAAAACAAAAACAAUAUUUUGAGCUUUACAUGUGAGUUAUGAAGAUGAGUAUGGAAAAUAUAUCUAGGAAGAAGCCUUUUACUGUUUUUCAAUAUAUUUCAUUUGUUUAUUUAUAUUUUUUAAACUCUUCCUUUUUACUGUUUUAUUCCUUGGUAGAAAUGUUAGUGCUGUAUUACAAAGUUUGAUCUUAGCGAAAAAAAGAAUAUGUAAAAUAUCUUCUAAUAUAUGAAGAUAAUAAUGGCUUGCUGUUGAAGUUGUAUGUCUUGUAUUCCACGUAUGCUUUUGGUCUUACACUGAAAUUAAAGCUGGGGGGGUUCAA
This 2016-nucleotide unclassified non-coding RNA is filed under the name Hevea brasiliensis (rubber tree). The record is from RNAcentral. Lineage: Eukaryota; Viridiplantae; Streptophyta; Magnoliopsida; Malpighiales; Euphorbiaceae.